RNAcentral lists this small nuclear RNA (113 nucleotides) under Ochotona princeps (American pika). The record is from RNAcentral. Lineage: Eukaryota; Metazoa; Chordata; Mammalia; Lagomorpha; Ochotonidae.
CUGCUUGAUUUGGUAGCAUAUGUACUAAAAUUAGAACAAUGCAGAGCAGAGGGGAUUAAGCAUGUCCCAUUUGGAAGGAUGGUAUGUAAAUUCAUGAAGAAAUGCUUAUUUUU